Molecule: ribosomal RNA, 253 nt
Filed under: uncultured bacterium
Lineage: Bacteria
Description: partial 16S ribosomal RNA
Rfam family: Bacterial small subunit ribosomal RNA
Source: RNAcentral
UACGUAGGGUGCAAGCGUUAAUCGGAAUUACUGGGCGUAAAGCGCACGUAGGCGGUUCGUUAAGUCGGAUGUGAAAGCCCUCGGCUCAACUGAGGAAGUGCACCCGAAACUGGCGAGCUUGAGUACGAAAGAGGAUCGCGGAAUUCCCGGUGUAGAGGUGAAAUUCGUAGAUAUCGGGAGGAACACCGGCGGCGAAGGCGGCGAUCUGGGUCGAUACUGACGCUGAGGUGCGAAAGCGUGGGGAGCAAACAGG